RNAcentral lists this ribosomal RNA (400 nucleotides) under uncultured bacterium. Its description in RNAcentral is "bacterial SSU rRNA". It matches the Rfam family "Bacterial small subunit ribosomal RNA", at positions 356 to 773 of the family's 1533-position model. The record is from RNAcentral.
GGGGAAUAUUGGACAAUGGGCGCAAGCCUGAUCCAGCCAUGCCGCGUGAGUGAUGAAGGCCCUAGGGUUGUAAAGCUCUUUCACCGGUGAAGAUAAUGACGGUAACCGGAGAAGAAGCCCCGGCUAACUUCGUGCCAGCAGCCGCGGUAAUACGAAGGGGGCUAGCGUUGUUCGGAAUUACUGGGCGUAAAGCGCACGUAGGCGGGUAUUUAAGUCAGGGGUGAAAUCCCGGAGCUCAACUCCGGAACUGCCUUUGAUACUGGGUACCUAGAGUAUGGAAGAGGUGAGUGGAAUUCCGAGUGUAGAGGUGAAAUUCGUAGAUAUUCGGAGGAACACCAGUGGCGAAGGCGGCUCACUGGUCCAUUACUGACGCUGAGGUGCGAAAGCGUGGGGAGCAAAC